AAAAAUUUAGUUAAAUCCUAUAACGUUAGCUUGUCAAGCUAAAAUUAUUUAAUAAAUAAUUUUUA
RNAcentral lists this transfer RNA (65 nucleotides) under Sympiezomias velatus. RNAcentral's name for it is "tRNA-Asp". It matches the Rfam family "tRNA". From Rfam's summary of the family: Transfer RNA (tRNA) molecules are approximately 80 nucleotides in length. The record is from RNAcentral. Lineage: Eukaryota; Metazoa; Arthropoda; Insecta; Coleoptera; Curculionidae.